Molecule: unclassified non-coding RNA, 370 nt
Filed under: Hevea brasiliensis (rubber tree)
Lineage: Eukaryota; Viridiplantae; Streptophyta; Magnoliopsida; Malpighiales; Euphorbiaceae
Source: RNAcentral
UUCCUGUCUCUCUCUGGCUCCUUAAGUGCCUUGAUGACCAGAGCAGCCGCAGAUGGAACAACCGUCACCUUAGCCUGACGGUUCUGAACCGUAAGCUUGACAGUGACGCGAAGACCCUUCCAGUCCUUGGCGGUCUCCUUAGCGAUGUCUUCACCGAUCUUUUUAGGGGAGAGACCAAGCGGACCAAUUUUCGGUGCGAGUGAACUAGCCGCGCCGACUUCUCCACCGGUGACUCGGACGAAGACAUCGACCACCUGGGAAGGGUCAAAUUUGGGCGGCAUUUCUAGUGCUCACAGAAUGAGACAACCCUAGGGUUUCAAGAAACCAUUAAAGGAUGAUAUGGAGUAAUAUAUUACAAUCCCAGUGCUGA